GCAAACCUUAUCUUACUGCUUUUCUACACUGUCACUGGGCAAGCUGAUAACUGAAAGAACAGGAAAGGAGUCUACUAGAUUGUUCAUCAUUCACACCUAUUUGGGAACCUCACCACAAGGGCUGAAGGGAAUCAACUUGGAUAGGUGGAAGAAGAACAUAAAACCUGACAUUCACUUGCCUGGAUAAGACACACUUCACGUGAUGCCUGGAGAUUUAAAAGCACUGUGAAGAGAGAUUGGGCUUGCUUAGGAUUUAAUGAA
This 261-nucleotide long non-coding RNA is filed under the name Parus major (Great Tit). RNAcentral's name for it is "lncRNA (ENSPMJG00000011822.1)". Lineage: Eukaryota; Metazoa; Chordata; Aves; Passeriformes; Paridae. The record is from RNAcentral.